Molecule: ribosomal RNA, 453 nt
Filed under: uncultured bacterium
Lineage: Bacteria
Description: bacterial SSU rRNA
Rfam family: Bacterial small subunit ribosomal RNA
Source: RNAcentral
GAUGAACGCUGGCGGCGUGCUUAACACAUGCAAGUCGAACGAAGCACUCUAUUUGAUUUUCUUCGGAAAUGAAGAUUUUGUGACUGAGUGGCGGACGGGUGAGUAACGCGUGGGUAACCUGCCUCAUACAGGGGGAUAACAGUUGGAAACGACUGCUAAUACCGCAUAAGCGCACAGGAUUGCAUGAUCCGGUGUGAAAAACUCCGGUGGUAUGAGAUGGACCCGCGUCUGAUUAGCCAGUUGGCAGGGUAACGGCCUACCAAAGCGACGAUCAGUAGCCGACCUGAGAGGGUGACCGGCCACAUUGGGACUGAGACACGGCCCAAACUCCUACGGGAGGCAGCAGUGGGGAAUAUUGCACAAUGGGGGAAACCCUGAUGCAGCGACGCCGCGUGAGCGAAGAAGUAUUUCGGUAUGUAAAGCUCUAUCAGCAGGGAAGAAGAAUGACGGUAC